This 427-nucleotide ribosomal RNA is filed under the name uncultured bacterium. RNAcentral describes it as "bacterial SSU rRNA". It matches the Rfam family "Bacterial small subunit ribosomal RNA", at positions 355 to 774 of the family's 1533-position model. The record is from RNAcentral.
UGGGGAAUUUUGGACAAUGGGCGCAAGCCUGAUCCAGCAAUGCCGCGUGCAGGAUGAAGGCCUUCGGGUUGUAAACUGCUUUUGUACGGAGCGAAAAGCUUCUGGUUAAUACCUGGGAGUCAUGACGGUACCGUAAGAAUAAGCACCGGCUAACUACGUGCCAGCAGCCGCGGUAAUACGUAGGGUGCGAGCGUUAAUCGGAAUUACUGGGCGUACAGCGUGCGCAGGCGGUUAUGUAAGACAGAGGUGAAAUCCCCGGGCUCAACCUGGGAACUGCCUUUGAGACGGCAUGGCUAGAGUGCGGCAGAGGGGGAUGGAAUUCCGCGUGUAGCAGUGAAAUGCGUAGAUAUGCGGAGGAACACCGAUGGCGAAGGCAAUCCCCUAGGCCUGCAGUGACGCUCAUGCACGAAAGCGUGGGGAGCAAACA